AGGGAAAGGGGUAGUAAGAAGGUGGAAUGUUGAAUGCAGCAGAACAGUGGACCUGAUGGGAGGUGAAGUGGGACGGUGAUGCACCAUAGGAGCUGAUAACUCCAGCAGGAAGUGGAGCAGGGCCAGGUGAACCAGCAGAGGUCACAGACCUACCUCCAGGGGACUACUGGGUCUUUCUAGAGAUCAGACAGUGUACCUGUGCCCGCGGAUGUCAGACUGGUCACACACCCCUCCCAGGGCAAUGCGGUGGAACUCCCUGCCCAGGGUACGGGCGAUGGAGCGCCCCACACUGGUCUUUCCCACCCCAGGCGGCCCCACGAAGCACAGGAUGGGCCCCUUGAGGGUGCUCUUCAGCUGCCUCACAGCCAGGUACUCCAGCACUCUCCUCUUCAGCUUCUCCAUGGCAUAGUGGUCACUGUCCAACAGCACCCGCGCAGCAUGGAUAUCAAGACAGUCUGCAGAGACAAUGCGGAUCAGGGUUUAAUUCCAACACCGUGAAUAUUGUCAAAGACCUUAUCUAAUGUCAACCAAGUGAUUAAGAUAACCAUUAAUCUAGAUUGUAAUAACAAGUAUUGUUUUAUGUGGCUACAUGACUAAGCAGACAUAUGGUAUGGACUCCCCUGUGUGGUAAUGCUGAAUCAUCUAAGCAAAUGUCCCCAAUACUCUCAGUGUCUAAUGACUGGCUAUAGAGGACAAAGCAACCAGUGACAAAAUAUGAUAUUGAGCUCCCUCCAGUGGUAGAAGCCUUUAAUUCCAUUUUGAACAGAGAGUUCAAAAAAGAGAGCUGUGGCGGACUUCCUCGGGGUACACUUUGGUUUCUACCCCUCGUCCCAAAAAAGUGCCCUAUCCCAUUACAGAGAGUUUCAAGGUAUAACGUGCAUAUGAUGUGCUAUGUACAUUUCUAAAUUCAAAAAAAUAAAGUGUAAACGAAUAAAGAAAUGAACCUGAGAUUGUAGUGGUGUCAUAGUGGUGUACUGUGCAUACCUGUGGUCCUUUUGCUCCAGGGCAAUUCCACCAUAAGAUCCAGGUAGUUUCGGGUGAGAGCGUACUCUGGCAUGGACUGGGGCAUCUUCUUCAAUCUGUGUAGAUUAUCAUACAGAGCCUUCAGAAAGUAUUCACAUACCAUUACUGUUUCCAAAUGUUGUUGUGUUACAGCCGGAAUAUAAAAUGUAUUACAUUUAGAUUUUGUGUCACUGGACUACACACCACACCCCAUAA
Oncorhynchus gorbuscha (pink salmon) is the source of this 1218-nucleotide long non-coding RNA. RefSeq lists it as uncharacterized. The transcript is spliced from 3 exons. NCBI's taxonomy places the organism in Eukaryota, Metazoa, Chordata, Actinopteri, Salmoniformes, Salmonidae. The record is from RefSeq and is a predicted model, not a curated record.